RNAcentral lists this ribosomal RNA (438 nucleotides) under uncultured marine eukaryote. RNAcentral describes it as "SSU rRNA". It matches the Rfam family "Eukaryotic small subunit ribosomal RNA", at positions 619 to 1067 of the family's 1831-position model. The record is from RNAcentral.
UUAAAAAGCUCGUAGUUGGAUUUCUGCAGGAGUGCCUGUUGUCCGCCCACGUUGCGUGUGCAGCGGCGCCCCUGCAUCCUUCGGUUACCUCCGCUCGGCAUUCACUUGCCGGCGGUUGGCUCCGAAUAUUUACCUUGAGAAAAUUAGAGUGUUUCAGGCAGGCUUAGCCGGAAUACAUUAGCAUGGAAUAAUAGAAUGGACUACGGUCUCGUUGUUGGUUUGAGGGACUGGAGUAAUGAUUAAUAGGGAUAGUUGGGGGCAUUAGUAUUUAAUUGUCAGAGGUGAAAUUCUCAGAUUAACUAAAGACUAACUUAUGCGAAAGCAUUUGCCAAGGAUGUUUUCAUUAAUCAAGAACGAAAGUUAGGGGAUCAAAGACGAUCAGAUACCGUCCUAGUCUUAACCAUAAACUAUGCCAACUCGGGAUCGGGGGCGUGUAAU